GGUUUAUAGAUUAAUAAUUAUAAAUCUGUUCUGCCCAUUGAAAUAAAUUUUUGAAUGGCUGCGGUAUAUUGACCGUACUAAGGUAGCAAAAUCAAUAGUUUUUUAAUUGAAAGCUGGAAUGAAAGAAUUGAUGAGAUAAAAAUUGUUUCAAAAUUAAUAAUAGAAUUUAAAUUUUAAGUUAAAAUGCUUAAAUUAAUUUAUUAGACGAGAAGACCCUAUAGAAUUUUAUAAAAUUUUAAUAAAUUAAUUUUUAUAUAAAAUAAAUUAUUUUAUUAAAUUAUAUUUAAUUGGGAGGAUUAUAAAAUUUAAAUAACUUUUAUUUUAUAAAAACAUAGAUAAAUGAAUAAUUGAUUAUUAUUAUAAUUAUAAGAAUAAAUUACCUUAGGGAUAACAGCGUAAUAUUUUUGGAGAGAUCUUAUUGAUAAAAAUGUUUGCGACCUCGAUGUUGAAUUAUGAUAAAAUUUAGGUGAAGAUACUUAAAUUGUUAGUCUGUUCGACUAUUAAAAUCAUACA
This 513-nucleotide ribosomal RNA is filed under the name Ancistroceroides alastoroides. RNAcentral's name for it is "partial 16S ribosomal RNA". The stretch from base 387 to 513 matches the Rfam family "Archaeal large subunit ribosomal RNA", at positions 2542 to 2669 of the family's 2987-position model. The record is from RNAcentral. Lineage: Eukaryota; Metazoa; Arthropoda; Insecta; Hymenoptera; Vespidae.